This is an unclassified non-coding RNA of 271 nucleotides. The stretch from base 1 to 46 matches the Rfam family "Eukaryotic small subunit ribosomal RNA", at positions 1786 to 1831 of the family's 1831-position model.
AAGUCGUAACAAGGUUUCCGUAGGUGAACCUGCGGAAGGAUCAUUAACGAGUUUUUGAAAGGGGUUGUCGCUGGCCGAAACCUAAGGCAUGUGCACACCCUGCUCAAUCCACUCUCAAACCCCUGUGCACUUACUGUAGGCUAUGGUGGGAUAGCUGGCUUUGGUCAGUUUGAAAGCCUUACCUAUGUUAUUACAAACGCUUCAGUUCAAGAAUGUUAUACCGCGUUUAACGCAUUAUAUACAACUUUUAGCAACGGAUCUCUUGGCUCUC